CUCUUUUGUUUGUUUUUGUUUCAUUAGUUUUGCCAACCUGGAGGAUGGCAGCUUUCAAAAGAGAGAAAACAGCCAACGUUCUUUGUGGUGGUUUUGACUGAUAUAGACUCGGAGAGACACUACUGUUCCUGCUUAACUUUCUAUGAAGCAGAGAUUAAUCUACAGGGAACGAAAGAAACUGAAGGAGAAGAGGAGUCUGGUUUAAUUGCGCCUGCUGAAGUCUUUGCUCCUAAGAGUCUGGUGCUUGUGUCCAGACUAGAUUAUCCAGAAAUUUUCAGGGCUUGCCUUGGACUGAUCUAUACUGUGUAUGUGGACAGCCUGAAUGUGUCCCUGGAGGCUCUCAUUGCAAAUCUCUGCUCAUGCCUUGUCCCUGCUUCUGGAGGGUCUCAG
Molecule: non-coding RNA, 390 nt
Organism: Meleagris gallopavo (turkey)
Lineage: Eukaryota; Metazoa; Chordata; Aves; Galliformes; Phasianidae
Source: RefSeq, a predicted model, not a curated record